UACGUAGGUGGCAAGCGUUGUCCGGAUUUAUUGGGUUUAAAGGGUGCGUAGGCGGUUCUUUUAAGUCUGUGCUGAAAUACUCUGGCUUAACCAGAGGGGUGGCAUGGAUACUGGGGAACUUGAGUAAAGUCGAGGUAGGCGGAAUUGACGGGUGUAGCGGUGAAAUGCUUAGAUAUCGUCAAGAACACCAAAUAGUGAAGACAGUUUACUAGACUUUUACUGACGCUGAGGCACGAAAGUGUGGGGGAUCAAAACAGGG
This 259-nucleotide ribosomal RNA is filed under the name uncultured bacterium. RNAcentral describes it as "partial 16S ribosomal RNA". It matches the Rfam family "Bacterial small subunit ribosomal RNA", at positions 524 to 777 of the family's 1533-position model. The record is from RNAcentral.